AACGAACGCUGGCGGCGUGCCUAACACAUGCAAGUCGAACGCGAAAGUCCUUUGGGAUGAGUAAAGUGGCGCACGGGUGAGUAACACGUAGGUGACCUGCCUUUUAGAGGGGAAUAACCAGAAGAAAUUUUGGCUAAUGCCGCAUACGAAGUACAAAUCUAAAAGUAGUACUUGAAAGGAUGCCUCUGUAUAUGCAUCCACUAAAAGAUGGGCCUGCGGAACAUUAGCUAGUUGGUGGGUAAAGGCCUACCAAGGCAACGAUGUUUAUCCGGUCUGAGAGGAUGAUCGGACACACUGGAACUGAGACACGGUCCAGACUCCUACGGGAGGCAGCAGUGGGGAAUAUUGCGCAAUGGGGGAAACCCUGACGCAGCAACGCCGCGUGAGUGAGGAAGGACUUCGGUCUGUAAAGCUCUGUUAAUGUGGAAAAAUGGUAGUUGGUCUAAUAGGCCGAUUAUUUGAUGGUACACAUAGAGGAAGCACCGGCUAAACCUUCGUGCCAGCAGCCGCGGUAAUCG
This 518-nucleotide ribosomal RNA is filed under the name uncultured bacterium. RNAcentral describes it as "bacterial SSU rRNA". It matches the Rfam family "Bacterial small subunit ribosomal RNA", at positions 29 to 527 of the family's 1533-position model. The record is from RNAcentral.